Globicephala melas (long-finned pilot whale) is the source of this 1870-nucleotide long non-coding RNA. RefSeq lists it as uncharacterized. The record is from RefSeq and is a predicted model, not a curated record. Lineage: Eukaryota; Metazoa; Chordata; Mammalia; Artiodactyla; Delphinidae.
ACUUGGAGCAGCAAAAGGAGCCUCUGAGGAUGAACACAUCUCCUUCACACAAAGAUACCAUGAGAUUAAAUCCAACAACAUGUGCAGGCUUCAUCCAGAAAGUCCUUCUGAUUCUUGGAUAAGGAUUCAUGCAGGUGAGCUGGAAGGUUUCUGCAAAGAGCACCAUGACUUCUAGUUGUCCUGUCCCCGACAGAUGGGAAAAUCAAGGCUCUGAACUCAGGAAAAUGCCGAGUAUGUCAGCAUCUGAUCCUUUACCCUUCGGUGCAUGUGCACUUGAAGCUGGCUUCGUCCUCUAUUCUAGCGCAGAAACGAUGUGAAACAACUGCUGGAUGCUUUCUCAAAAAUGGGUCUGCCCCAAACCUCCCAGUCCAGAAUGUUCCAAUGUAGUUCCUUGCACUGCUUUGGGCUCAGCAAGUUUUCAUGGUAUGGAAGGUCUGAGAGCUUUGAGGAGAAGUGCUGAACCCUGAUCUUCUGUGUGUGUGUCAGAGAAAGCUUCCUGGAGGAGUCAUUAUUUGCACUGACUUUGAAGAAGCAGGAGGAGCUGGCUGGGGAAGGAGGCCAGGGGUAGGAGGGGAAAUUUUCCUGCAGAGGAAGAAGCUUGUGCCAAGCAUGGCCUGGAGGCUGGAAGGUAACUUGGCCUCUUAAUGCAGCUGCAGGGGCUCAAUGUGGCUUGAAAGGUGGUUGGGAGUGGUGGGUGAAGACAGAGGAGAGAGGGGAGGUGGGCAGGGCCACCUCAUGAAGGCCUCGAGUCUAAGAGUUUGGAUUUUCUCCCUAGGAUCCUUAGGGGUUGAGAAGAAACUGCAGGUUUUAAGCAAAGGAGUAGCCUGAUGAGAUAUGGAUUUUUGAAAGAGACCCAUGGGGCCUUAACUCAAGUGAGUCUUAGUUGCCUCCUUUGAAAAACAAGAAAAAUAGGGGGACUUUCCUAUUUUUGGUUAAGAAUCUGCCUUCCAAUGCAGGGAACGCGGGUUCGACCCCUGGUCGGGGAACUAGGAUCCCACAUACCACGGGGCAACUAAGCCCACGUGCCACAACUACUGACCCCCUGCACCACAACUACAGAGCCCAUGUGCUCUGGAGCCCACCUGCACAACUAGAGAGCCCAUGCGCCACAAUGAAAGAUCCCGUGUGCCGCAACUAAGGCCCCAUGCAGCCAAAUAUAAAUAAAUAUUAAAAAAAAAAACAAGAAAAAUAAAAUUUACCUCACAGGACUGUUCUGAGACUUCAAUAAGAUAACCGAUGGGAUAUGCCUAUCACAGGGCCAGGGAAAUCUUCCCUUCAAUUUCCCUUCCAGUGUUUGUAACAGGAAGAGCAGGUCUGCUCCUCCUCAGGCUCCUAAAAGUCUGGGGUCACCAGUCCUUAAUGAUCUCUGAAAGAGGUGUCUAGGGGGACAUUUUUGGACACAGGCUGUGCCCCAUCUGAAUGUGAAACUUUUAGACUUUGGAGGCUCUUCCCUAUGAAUAAGAACUUGUAUAUUUUCUGGAGCUUCGACAUUUCAGUCCCCCAUGAUGGGUAAGCACAGGGUAAGGACUGCCCUAAGAGAUGAGAACCCAGCUGGUCCAGGGCUUAGAAGACCAGGGAGUCUUUCUGGGCUGGGCCAGACCAGUGCUCUCAAGCAUGCUCGAAGGCUUCCUGGAUUAAGGAAUGUAAGAAGCUUAUGAAAAUAAUAUAUUGCCUAUUAAUUAUUGACAAGUUCUAUGCCAGACUCUUUAUAUGGGUUAGCUUGUUUACACAUUAACAAACUUCCACAUUUAUUAUGGCCAAGGAAACAGGCCUGAAGAAUUUAGGUAACUUAACUGAAAGUCACAGAGGGGGCAGGGCAAACCCCAGAUCUUUUUAGAGUCAAAGCUCCUUCUACUGCUUCAUCUUCUCC